Molecule: long non-coding RNA, 734 nt
Organism: Mustela lutreola (European mink)
Lineage: Eukaryota; Metazoa; Chordata; Mammalia; Carnivora; Mustelidae
Exons: 3
Source: RefSeq, a predicted model, not a curated record
ACCCCCUUCGCGCGGGGCCGGCCCGGCGAGGCUUCGGGGCGCGCGCGGCGUGGGACCCGGCUGCCGGCGAGCCAAGGCUGGGAAACGCGGCGUUCCUGCCGGCUCCGCGGGAGUGCGUGGAACUCUGCCCCCGGCGCUGGGGAGGAGGCUCGGCUGUCCGGGGGGAAGCUAAGGAAUGCCCUUUGUUUAGACAACUUUUCCAGAGAUCUCGGGCCCUUCUCUCCGAGGUGCCCUUGUCUCGGAGGUCAAGGUCAUUCGUUUCUGCCUUUCAGAGGCUCGAGGGUACCCGGAGUGGUGGCGGGUUCCCUCAUCCCGCCCGGCCAGCGGGAGAGCCUGGUACCUGCCUUGCCAGCCCCAGAGACAGGGACGGGUUCUCAGAGCCCUGGGGACUCCUGAAGGGACUUUGCCACUUUCUUCACACCUGGGAGGAAGUAGCCUUAAAGGGCUUCACCUGCCAACGGAGCUUUCUUUCUCUUUCCACCCAGAGGGAGAAUCUUCUCAGCAAUGCUCAUCAGGAAGAACUCACUUUUCUAGGCAAAGCCAUGAGGUGUAGAAAAAUCAAGCAGUAGGUGGCGGAGUCAGGAUUCAGACCCGAGAGAAAGGGCCAUGUGAAGAGAGAGUGAGAAGAUAGUCAUCAGCAAGCCAAGGAGAAAGGCCUCUGCAGACACCAAAUCUGCUGACACUUUAAUCCUGGACUUCCAGCUUCCAGAACAAGGAAGAAUAAAUUUCUGUGG